RNAcentral lists this ribosomal RNA (477 nucleotides) under uncultured bacterium. Its description in RNAcentral is "partial 16S ribosomal RNA". It matches the Rfam family "Bacterial small subunit ribosomal RNA", at positions 29 to 507 of the family's 1533-position model. The record is from RNAcentral.
AUGAACGCUGGCGGCGUGCUUAACACAUGCCAGUCGCACGAGAAAUGGAGACGGAAACCUUCGGGCGGAAGGCUUCAUUUCGAGUGGCGGACGGGUGAGUAACGCGUGGGUAACCUGCCUCAUACAGGGGGAUAACAGUUGGAAACGACUGUUAAUACCGCAUAAGACCACAGCACCGCAUGGUGCGGGGGUAAAAACUCCGGUGGUAUGAGAUGGACCCGCGUUCGAUUAGCCAGUUGGCGGGGUAACGGCCCACCAAAGCGACGAUCGAUAGCCGAUCUGAGAGGAUGACCGGCCACAUUGGGACUGAGACACGGCCCAAACUCCUACGGGAGGCAGCAGUGGGGAAUAUUGCACAAUGGGGGAAACCCUGAUGCAGCGACGCCGCGUGAGUGAAGAAGUACUUCGGUAUGUAAAGCUCUAUCAGCAGGGAAGAAAAUGACGGUACCUGAGUAAGAAGCCCCGGCUAACUACGUG